GAGAAGUGUGCCUUUGUGUAUGGCACUGAUCUCAUAAGCAGUUUUUGUCUUUGAUGAGUUUCAGCAUUAUCUGCUGGGAGCAGAGCUUGUAGGGAUGCUUUUACUGUGCUUCUUUUGUGUGUCCUCUAUUAGUACCAAUGGUGUGAGGGCUCCUUCUUCUACCAGCACAUGCAGAAUGUGAAGUAAAUUGGUUUCUGAAGGAAGCUGAACGUGCUGAGGAUCCUCCAUAGGGAAUCUGAGGAGAUUGAGGAGCUAAUUGUCCACCUCUGCUCUGCUCUAAUGAGAGCCCACCUAAAGUGCUGAGAAUCCCAACGUAAGAAAGAUGUUGGAUUGGGUUCAGAGAAGACCAUGAGGAUGCUCAGGGGGAUGGAAUACCUCCCUAUGAGAACAGCUGGAGAAGGGAAGGCUCCAGGAUGACCUCUUUAUUGCCUUCCUAUACCUGGAGGCCUACGGGAUUCUUAGUGAUGUACUGACACAGGUUGCCCGAAGAGGUGGUGAAUGUCCCUGCAGACACCCAAGGUCAGGCUGGAUGGGGCUCUGAGCACUUAAUGAAGCUGUGGGUGUCCCUGUUUGGUGAAGGGAGUUGGUCUAGAUGACCUUAAAAGGUCCCUUCCAUCUCAAACAAUCCUUUGUCAGAGGUUGCAGUGAUGGUAACAGCUUUAAACUAAAAGGGGAGAUUUAGAUGAGACAUUAGGAAGAAAUUCCUCACUAAUGAGGGUAGUUUUUGAACAGAUGCUCUUUGUCCUUUAUUUUUCUAAUAGACCAGUAAUGCACAUGGAGUUCUCUUCCCUCUGUUCAUUGGAAUUCAUCCAUAAAGCACAUUCUUCUGGAAGCAAGCUUGCACUCUUUAAAUGCCAAUCUAAGCUGUUCUGUAACAUAGAGCCUAUAUAGGGUGAUUGCUUCCCAGUCACCUCUGCUUCAGCUGUGAAUGCUGGCUGUUCUACCCCUUUCCUGGCAGCCUGCUGCUGCAGAUAACAGCAGAUCAUAGUUUGGCUUUGCUUGUGCUGAGACAGCUUGGGGAUUUCAGUCUGAGUGGGGCAGCAAAAACUGCUGUUCCUGAGAUGCGACAGCACCUGAAGUGGAUGAGGUGAAUGCAAUACAUAGCACGUACUGCUUGCAGUGAAGGGGUGAGGCCUUGGAAAUAUUAGGUUUUGGUGGAUAGCACUGAGCACUAUGCAGAUCUGAGGCCCUGUGCAGAGAUGCAGGAGCUUACUGUCUUUGCUGAUAGAGCUUAUAUCUCCAGGGAUACGAGCUUCGAGGCUGAGCUCUCCUCUCACUUUGUUCUUACAAGAUAGUCUCAGAACCAGGAGGGUGCUGUGGUGAGAGCAGGCAGCAGCACUGAAGCUGCAGUGAGAACUUCCUGAGAGCUGGGCUGACAUGCAGGAACCUCUGCUUGAGGGGAUGUGCUUCACUCUGAAGUAUCUAGGCAUGACACUGGUAGAGAAACCCAAAGGGGAAGACAUGGCAGCUGCUGCCAUCCGCCGGAUUGUCGCCACGGCACGAGUGGGAGCUCGCAAGUUCCAGAAGGUGAUUCUGACAGUGUCUCCAAGGGGCAUCUCACUGCAGGAUGCUGACACCAAAGAGAUGGUUGAGAACAUCUCCAUCUACAGGAUCUCCUACUGCACAACAGACAAGCUGCAGAACAAAGUCUUUGCUUACGUGGCGCAGAGCCAGGAGAGUGGGGCGCUGGAGUGCCAUGCCUUCCUGUCACCCAAGAAGAAGAUUGCCCAGGCUGUGACUCUGACAGUGGCCCAGGCCUUCCAGAUGGCACUGGAUCUCUGGGAAGCAGCAAACGCAGGCUCUAGGCAGGAACAGCCCCUUCACCCUCCAUGCGUCUUGGAGCGCAGUGAGCCCAGCAGAGCAAGUGAGCCAGCUCCCCCGGGGAGCCCUCCCUUCAGACACCAGUUUGGGGAGCCUCUGAAUGCUUGCUUCAUGACUUCGUGCUUCCAGCAUUGGCCCAGCCUGGCAGUGGUUGGGGCCGUCAUUGCUUGCAGCGUGCUCCAGGUGGUUCUCUGCCUGGCCAUCCAGCUGGGACAUGCUCACCCUGCUCCAGUCUCUAGGCAAAGGUGUGCUGUGUGCAGCAGCUAUCUCAGCUUGGUGGCUCAUCCCCAGUUCACGCCCUGUGUUUGGUGCUCUGCUGGCUUGGGGAAUGUGAGGAGAACCUUGGUCUGUCUCUUCCUUUGUGUGGCUGUGUCUGAGCUCCAAGGAUUUCAUCAGCCCAGUACUGCAGGUGCCAUUUUUCCCCUUCCUGCUUGUAGACGAGUCUUGUCCUUGUCAUGCCUGGUGGGUGACUGUCUUGUGAAGGUGCUGGGGACAGCCCUGCUGCCCCAGAAGAGGCUCUGGGCAUCCCAGACUGGAUCGUGGUAGAGACCUACUUUUCUGUUUGUUUGCUUGCUUGCAAGGAGGAGGAAGAGGAGGAGGAAGAUGAAAACCUCGAUGAAACUUUAUCUGGGUGCUUGCUUGGAGAUGAUGGGUGCUCUGUUCUCUUCCAAAGCUGCAUGGAGGAGCUGGGGAGGGGAGCCCAUGG
This is a non-coding RNA of Coturnix japonica (Japanese quail), 2527 nucleotides long. The record is from RefSeq and is a predicted model, not a curated record. Lineage: Eukaryota; Metazoa; Chordata; Aves; Galliformes; Phasianidae.